This 233-nucleotide unclassified non-coding RNA is filed under the name fungal sp. RNAcentral describes it as "partial internal transcribed spacer region". The stretch from base 1 to 46 matches the Rfam family "Eukaryotic small subunit ribosomal RNA", at positions 1786 to 1831 of the family's 1831-position model. The record is from RNAcentral. Lineage: Eukaryota; Fungi.
AAGUCGUAACAAGGUUUCCGUAGGUGAACCUGCGGAAGGAUCAUUAAAGAUUCGACCUUUGGGUCUAUCUCUCUUCAGCUGUGCGCUUCAGCUGCACGCUGUUGAACUUUCCACACCCUGUGCACCAUUCGGUUGUGGCUUCGGCUGCUUCCGCAUUUACACAUACAACCACAGUCCAGAAUGUUAAACACUAUAACAAAUAACAACUUUCAACAACGGAUCUCUUGGCUCUC